GCGGGAGUAGCUCAGUGGUAGAGCGCCUGCCUUCCAAGCAGGAUGCCGAGGGUUCGAUCCCCUUCUCCCGCUCCA
This 75-nucleotide transfer RNA is filed under the name Chloroflexota bacterium. RNAcentral's name for it is "Chloroflexi bacterium tRNA-Gly". It matches the Rfam family "tRNA". Rfam says of the family: Transfer RNA (tRNA) molecules are approximately 80 nucleotides in length. Their secondary structure includes four short double-helical elements and three loops (D, anti-codon, and T loops). Further hydrogen bonds mediate the characteristic L-shaped molecular structure. tRNAs have two regions of fundamental functional importance: the anti-codon, which is responsible for specific mRNA codon recognition, and the 3' end, to which the tRNAs corresponding amino acid is attached (by aminoacyl-tRNA synthetases). tRNAs cope with the degeneracy of the genetic code in two manners: having more than one tRNA (with a specific anti-codon) for a particular amino acid; and 'wobble' base-pairing, i.e. permitting non-standard base-pairing at the 3rd anti-codon position. The record is from RNAcentral. RNAcentral also lists the same sequence under 1 other name. Lineage: Bacteria; Bacillati; Chloroflexota.